RNAcentral lists this unclassified non-coding RNA (362 nucleotides) under uncultured Rhodoscypha. Its description in RNAcentral is "sequence contains ITS1". The stretch from base 1 to 105 matches the Rfam family "5.8S ribosomal RNA", at positions 50 to 154 of the family's 154-position model. Lineage: Eukaryota; Fungi; Ascomycota; Pezizomycetes; Pezizales; Pyronemataceae. The record is from RNAcentral.
GAAAUGCGAUAAGUAGUGUGAAUUGCAGAAUUCAGUGAAUCAUCGAAUCUUUGAACGCACAUUGCGCCUCCUGGUAUUCCGGGAGGCAUGCCUGUCCGAGCGUCAUUAAACAAAUUCAAGCUUCUUUUUAAUUUUUGCUUGGUCUUGAGGGAUGAGCGAGACAGAAUAGAACUUUUUAAAAUUCUUGUUCUAUCUUGCUCACCCAUCGAAUUUCAGUGGCGGAUUUAAGCACAGUUGGCCCGGUGUGAUACGGUUUUUCAUGUCAUCGGUCCAGCGUGUGGUAACCUCCUGCCCAUAGAAACUCCCCUCUAAUAUUAUGAUUCAACGACCUCGGAUCAGGUAGGGAUACCCGCUGAACUUAA